GCUGCUGUAGCUCAGUCGGUAGAGCGCGUCCUUGGUAAGGACGAGGUCACGAGUUCGAAUCUCGUCAGCAGCU
Molecule: transfer RNA, 73 nt
Filed under: Planctomycetota bacterium
Lineage: Bacteria; Pseudomonadati; Planctomycetota
Also listed under: 2 other names
Description: Planctomycetes bacterium (marine metagenome) tRNA-Thr
Rfam family: tRNA
About the family: Transfer RNA (tRNA) molecules are approximately 80 nucleotides in length. Their secondary structure includes four short double-helical elements and three loops (D, anti-codon, and T loops). Further hydrogen bonds mediate the characteristic L-shaped molecular structure. tRNAs have two regions of fundamental functional importance: the anti-codon, which is responsible for specific mRNA codon recognition, and the 3' end, to which the tRNAs corresponding amino acid is attached (by aminoacyl-tRNA synthetases). tRNAs cope with the degeneracy of the genetic code in two manners: having more than one tRNA (with a specific anti-codon) for a particular amino acid; and 'wobble' base-pairing, i.e. permitting non-standard base-pairing at the 3rd anti-codon position.
Source: RNAcentral